Molecule: small nuclear RNA, 129 nt
Filed under: Cellana tramoserica
Lineage: Eukaryota; Metazoa; Mollusca; Gastropoda; Nacellidae
Description: partial U2 snRNA
Rfam family: U2 spliceosomal RNA
About the family: U2 is a small nuclear RNA (snRNA) component of the spliceosome (involved in pre-mRNA splicing). Complementary binding between U2 snRNA (in an area lying towards the 5' end but 3' to hairpin I) and the branchpoint sequence (BPS) of the intron results the bulging out of an unpaired adenosine, on the BPS, which initiates a nucleophilic attack at the intronic 5' splice site, thus starting the first of two transesterification reactions that mediate splicing.
Source: RNAcentral
CAAAGUGUAGUAUCUGUUCUUAUCAGCUUAAUAUCUGAUACGUGCCUCAAUGAGGCACUUCGAUAUUAAACUGAUUUUUGGACUUAGAUGAGGUGUCCGAGGCUUGCUUCGCCCUCAUCACGGGUUGCC